AUACCCGCCAGCACAGUUCAUUGUUUACAUUGGUAGUAGAGGAGGUUGUCGCACUAUUCUAGAAUGCCUGGAAAACACUGCUGUGUAAAAAACUGCUCCAGUGUCUCACACGAUUGUCGUGGAAACCAUAGGAACCAUUUGUUACAGUUUUUUCGUUUCCCUACAUGGAAAAAGCAUUUCAUUUGAACUGAACGCCACCAUGUUUGAUCCAGAGCUGCUGAUAAUGCAGUCCCAACGAAAAAGGGUCAUGAUCGUGUGUUGGAACCGCAGGCGAAAUCAAGGAAGAAUGCGGUGUAUGAAAAUGUCCCCAAAAAACGAUGAUCAAAUACUCUAUCUGCUUGAAUUACUGGACGAUUACUCAUACCUUUUGAUUUUGUUCACAUUUAUUCUCUGAAAGAAUGUCUCUGUUUUCUUUUAUAACAUUUUGGUGUUAUUGUGAUAUAUUAAAUUUUGUUGUCUUUUUGUGGUUCCAGCUUUAAGUUUAUUGUUUACCUAACUUAAAUUAUAAAAAAUUUAA
Long non-coding RNA from Carassius auratus (goldfish), 517 nucleotides. RefSeq lists it as uncharacterized. The record is from RefSeq and is a predicted model, not a curated record. Lineage: Eukaryota; Metazoa; Chordata; Actinopteri; Cypriniformes; Cyprinidae. The transcript has 3 exons.